This 495-nucleotide long non-coding RNA is filed under the name Mytilus galloprovincialis (Mediterranean mussel). Lineage: Eukaryota; Metazoa; Mollusca; Bivalvia; Mytilida; Mytilidae. The record is from RNAcentral.
CUAAAUAUUAAAAGAAAAUGUCCACUACUACAGAUUUUAAGUACAGAAAUAGUACAGAAAUAGUACCUAUGCAAAAGUAGCUGUGUAGUUGUCUGAUCUACUUAAAGAUAUAUAUGUGUAAAAGAUUGAGUCAAUUGGUGAUAUAAUUUUUUUUACAUGUGAACCAUUAUUUCGCGGCAGAAUACGCUCAAAACUUUUAGGAGGCUCUAGAUGUGGUUUGCAGAAUAUUUCAUAGCGGACAAAAAUAUAAAGAAAAGAUAAAAUGGGAAGGAAAUACAGAAUAAAGUAUAAUCGACAUUUGUGUUGUCUGAAUGGCGACUUUAAAGACAAUGCACAUGUAGUGAAGUCACUCUCUCUCUCUCUGCAUGUGAAUCCAUUGUAAUAUAAACUGUGACAUGUUGCAGACACCAUUUCGAUUACAGAAACUUAAUCAGUUUAACCCGAAUCAAAUCCGUUAGAAUGCAAAAUUAACAUUAAAACUGUAGAACAAUAAAC